RNAcentral lists this ribosomal RNA (471 nucleotides) under uncultured bacterium. RNAcentral's name for it is "SSU rRNA". It matches the Rfam family "Bacterial small subunit ribosomal RNA", at positions 26 to 518 of the family's 1533-position model. The record is from RNAcentral.
AGGACGAACGCUGGCGGCGUGCUUAACACAUGCAAGUCGAGCGGAAAGGCCCUUCGGGGUACUCGAGCGGCGAACGGGUGAGUAACACGUGAGUAAUCUGCCCCUAGCUCUGGGAUAGCUCCGGGAAACCGGGAUUAAUACCAGAUACGACCACUUUAGACAUCUUCUGUGGUGGAAAGAACUUCGGCUAGGGAUGAACUCGCGGCCUAUCAGCUUGUUGGUGAGGUAACGGCUCACCAAGGCGACGACGGGUAGCCGGCCUGAGAGGGCGACCGGCCACACUGGGACUGAGACACGGCCCAGACUCCUACGGGAGGCAGCAGUGGGGAAUAUUGCGCAAUGGGCGAAAGCCUGACGCAGCGACGCCGCGUGGGGAUGAAGGCCUUCGGGUUGUAACCCCUUUCAGCAGGGACGAAGCGAAAGUGACGGUACCUGCAGAAGAGCGCCGGCUAACUACGUGCCAGCAGCCGC